Molecule: long non-coding RNA, 303 nt
Organism: Epinephelus fuscoguttatus (brown-marbled grouper)
Lineage: Eukaryota; Metazoa; Chordata; Actinopteri; Perciformes; Serranidae
Exons: 3
Source: RefSeq, a predicted model, not a curated record
AUUAAACUUAAGAAACAUGAAGCAUUACCUUUUUAAAAAUGCUUUUGUUUGCUACUACUGUAUACGGUUGACUUUGACAACUACGACGGAAUGAUGGGGCCAUCAAUGCAGCAAACAACCACUGGAAAUUCCUGCAUCUGCACAAGUCGAACGGAAAUGCGUACAUCAUGGGUCCCAUGUGUCAGGCUGAGGACAAAGACUCAGCCAGUACUUCAACAUGCGGCAGAACCGGCAUCAGAAGACUGAUUGGGUGGGUAUUAAAUGGAAGCCCGCUACAAUCAACCACAGCAUCCAAAAAGAUGG